GGAAUCUAUCUCUGUGGCUUUGGUCUCUCUUCUUCCAAAGACAGAGAUCCUCUCGUAAUCUCGUAUACCCUUUUUAGAUUCAGAUCGAACAGUUUUAGAACCCUAGCUUCUCUUUUAUGCGCUGCUAGUUUCUUCAUCCCUCCUCUCAACAUUCGUCAUGGAACGGAUUGUAGGCGGCAAGUAUAAGCUUGGCCGCAAGAUCGGAAGCGGAUCCUUCGGUGAAAUUUAUCUUGCUACGCAUAUUGAUACUUUCGAGAUCGUCGCCGUCAAGAUCGAGAAUAGUAAAACAAAGCAUCCGCAGUUGCUUUACGAGGCAAAACUGUACAAUAUUCUUCAAGGAGGAAGUGGCAUUCCAAGCAUAAAAUGGUCUGGCGUUGAUGGGGAGGAGAAUGUGCUUGUUCUUGAUUUGCUGGGACCGAGUCUUGAGGAUCUGUUUGUGUAUUGCGGAAGAAAGUUUUCAUUGAAGACAGUCUUAAUGCUGGCUGAUCAAAUGAUCACUAGAAUAGAAUAUGUGCACUCUAAGGGGUUCUUACAUAGGGAUGUAAAACCUGAUAACUUUCUCAUGGGACUUGGCCGGAAGGCUAACCAGGUUUACAUAAUUGAUUUUGGUCUUGCGAAAAGGUAUCGGGACUCCACCACCAAUCGCCACAUCCCUUAUAGGGAGAACAAAAAUUUAACAGGGACUGCACGCUAUGCAAGUUGCAAUACUCAUCUUGGGAUUGAACAAAGCCGACGGGAUGACUUGGAGUCACUGGGUUACGUUCUUCUGUACUUCUUGAGAGGAAGCCUUCCUUGGCAAGGUCUAAAGGCUGCAACAAAGAAGCAGAAGUAUGAUAAAAUAUGUGAAAAGAAAUUGUCAACUCCCAUUGAGGUCCUCUGCAAAUCUCAUCCUGUAGAGUUUGCUUCAUACUUUCACUACUGCCACUCUCUGACUUUUGACCAGCGGCCUGAUUAUGGAUUCUUAAAGCGUGUAUUUCGGGAACUAUUUACUCGAGAAGGUUAUGAGUUUGACUAUGUAUUUGAUUGGACCAUCUUGAAAUAUCAGCAGGCACAAAAGAACAAAUCUCAGCCACGCAUACCUCCGGUUACUGGAGCAAGCAACACUCGUGCAAUGCCUAUGGAUGUUGACAACCAUCAUGUUGAUGUAUCAGAUCGCAUUAGAUCAGGCAAUGCUACAAGUUCUGGUGUUAAAUUGCAGUUUAAAUCACCAAUGGGCAAACAUUUAAGUUCUGAACAUCCUUUUAAGAAGAAUAUUUUUCGUGAGGAGAAUAUGCCCUCUACUUCAUAUUCGCUUUCUGGUAUCUCCAAAAGGGACUCCUUGAAGCCCAUCAUGUCUGCUGAAGCUGCUAAUUCUGGACAUGAACAUGUUGGUAAAAUUGGCCCUUCUAGCAGCUGGAUUUCAUCUCUGCAUCGUGGCAAAUGAAAUAGUGCCGAUAUGCUGUGAAUCUGUUCAAGAAAAUUCUCGUGCAUAUGUCAAGCUGCAAAUGUGUGGUGGUUCACUUGCUUCCUUUCCUGUGUAUUUAAUCGAGAAUAUCUCAGUGAUUUAUUAAUGGAGACUGUCAAAUUUGCUGCCAUCUUGUGCUACUUCUUUCCCAAGGAAGUUCCAUUUUUUUAUUAAUGGGAGUCUCUAAUUUUCUUUGGUGCGACCAGGAUGCUCAAGCAGCACUUCUCUACUUGUAGGUAGCACAAAAAUUGGCACUCAGCCAGGUUAACUUGUAUUGACAUUCUUGGGAUUAAUGGGUACAAUCUGGUUUUGUCAGUCUUGUUCAAGGAGUCUUCUAUUCCAACCAAUGUUUAUGAGGGAUGAAGUAUGAGUAAGUAGAUUCCCCUAUCAACAGGUGCUGGUUCUGGGCUCAAGGGAAAACAAUUCUUACGACAGAAUACAUUUGAAGGCCGGUAACUUUGGUAUCCUGAGCUGGAUCUGGUUUAUCCACGAUUUUAUCCAAUGCCCAUUUGGAUAGAUUACAAUUGCAGCUCAUAGCAUUUAAAUCAUGCAGCAGACUGAUCAAAUGAGACGGAGAGAAUUGAUUUUCUGAUGAAGAUAAAAACAUGUAGACUGUUGGGAGAUGUUUGGUACAUGACACGUUUCUUCCUCAGUGUUAACGCUAUGUGACCACAGACCAAUUCUUUUUUAUUUUCUAAAUUAUUCACAGUCCACCCGGGUGCUGCAGAAUAUGAAUAUCUUGGGGUCCAAGCUGUCUCACGUUUCUAAGAUUCUGGUGGAAAAUAUCCUUGACUUGGAUCGUCGAUGUGGCUGAAGGUUGUCUAGUUGUUGUAAUUACAAUUUUGAAAUGCAAGAAUUUCAGAGUUAAAUAUUUGCUAAUAUAUUUUAGAGGUUUUUGCUCUGUAUCCUGGGACUCCAGUCCGUUUGAGUGAAAACAACUAUGCCUACCAAACCAACGAAUGGUCUUUCGUCCUGGGACAGUAUCACUGAAUUUAUCUCAUACGUUGGCGAUAAAAGAUCUUUUAUGGCAA
RNA transcript from Neltuma alba, 2475 nucleotides. It is a transcript of the gene named casein kinase 1-like protein 3, with no coding region annotated. NCBI's taxonomy places the organism in Eukaryota, Viridiplantae, Streptophyta, Magnoliopsida, Fabales, Fabaceae. The transcript is spliced from 19 exons. The record is from RefSeq and is a predicted model, not a curated record.